Hipposideros armiger (great roundleaf bat) is the source of this 2155-nucleotide long non-coding RNA. RefSeq lists it as uncharacterized. The transcript has 2 exons. The record is from RefSeq and is a predicted model, not a curated record. NCBI's taxonomy places the organism in Eukaryota, Metazoa, Chordata, Mammalia, Chiroptera, Hipposideridae.
UUCUACAAGAGCAACUGUUUUCAUGAGGGAGCCUGGGAAAUCUAUCAACUAUCAACACUGAAAUGGUUAUCUUCAAACCCCUUGUAGGUAACAGAAUAGGUACAGGGUGAGCAGAGGAGAGAAAGGGGAGGAUGCCACCUGGUCAGCACCAGCACAGGCUGCGGUGAAAGCAGCCUGUCACAGAAUCCAAAAUGCUGUGUCCUGGGAAUCACCACUUUAGUUUUGCUGUGAGGAAACAGAGUUUUACCUGCACUGGCUUUGUACUGUGGAAGGAUUUUGCCCUUGAUUUCUGGGUUUAAAGAGAACCUAUUGGGAAACAGAGCUUCCUAAAUCAAGAGAUAGAUUUUCCUCUUCCCAAAACAUAAUUAGAACCCUGAACGAAAUGUUGUAUGACACCUAACAUUGUAAGAAUAUCUCUUCUGCAAAAUAAUUUUACAAUUAUCAUUUCCUCAGGAUUGCCUAUCAUAUUUAGAAUAAGCUAACCUUAUUCAGAUUUCCUUCACGUACAAAACACAAGAAGCAUGUUUUCUUGAUUCUGAAAGGUCUGAAUGUAUUUGACUCUGGAUUUCUAUGUCUGAGCAGGGAAAUUUAUUAAUUUUUAAGGAUUCUAAGCAAUGGUUUUUGUUACUAUUACAUAAAACUGAGAAUUGUGGGGUUAUUGAUCAUAAAUAUAUAUGUGCAUCAGACUAGAUUAACUGACAAUAACUUGCUGCUCCUGAAAUUAUAUUACUAAAAAUAAUUACAUCCAAAAUGCCAUAAUUUCAUGAAAUGACACAGCAGGUGAAUGGAUUUCUCCUAUUCCUACCGCCUAUGUAAAGAACACUCAUGCUUCCAAAGAGCCACCAGUAACUAGCAAGACCGGGAACUCUUACCUUCCUGGCCUGGCACAUAAAUUGGUGCAUGCAUCAAAGCUUUCUUAUUGAAGAGGAAAAAUGGGGGUGCUGUAGAACAAGCUACAGAUACUGUUAGAAAAGGUAAAAAUCGUCAUCUAAGACUCUUCACCUUUUGCUCCCCCACUUGCAAUUCCCAGAAUACCACCUUGCUUUUUGAUAUCCUGAGUUUCAUUUCACUUUUCUAACAUGACGGAGUUUAGGCACAUUCAAUUUUUUUCUGAUUUUGGAUUUGUAUGAAGUCACUCAAUUCUACUCUUUUUGUUUCCCUUUUUAGUUUACAUAAUAAAAUAACACAUGCUUUUUGCAUUUUUUUUUAAAGCCCAAACAUAACUCUAUAAGGUAAAAAGUAAAAGCACCCUCUUUUCUUCAUCCCAUCUCACUUCCUUCAGGUAGCCACUGUCAAGAGUUUGGGAACAAUGAGGUAUACGUAUGCCUGUACGCAGGUUUUAGUAUGUGCCUACUAUAAAUCUCUUCCACAUUUUCCUUUUUCCACUUCCUAUAUCUUGAUUUUUUCCCCUAGGCAAUGUACCAAAGCAGCUAACAGACACAUUUAUAUUAUUGCGUGUCUCCUUUUCCCUACAAUGAGAUGGCUAAAUCAAGACUUACUGAAUAUCAAAAGCAAAACAAAAACCUGUCAGCCUAAUACUAAAUAUAUCCUUGGUUGUAUUAAUUUUCACACUUGCCUUCGACUUUAAAAAUGGUGAAGACAUAUGGAUAAACACAUACACACUAAUAUAUAUGCACUCUAAAUAUAUACGUUGUCUUACAUAGGUAAAUGUACCUAUGUCAUAUAUGUACGUUGAAAUGAAGUUAAUUUUCAAAGGCAAGAAGCAAAGGAAGGCACCUGUGUAGGUGGUGAGGCUAAAUGGGUCCUGACUAGGUAAGGACAUCAUGGGGAAAUUUUCUGGGCCUUGGAAGCAGAGACACGGGUUGCAAAGAACUCCACCUUAUACUGAUUGUGUGGUUUUGUGCAAGUUCCUUUACCCUUUUGAGCUUCCUUUUUCAUCAUCCACAAAAGUGGGGGAAAGACUUAUCUUACAGAGAUUUAGACACUAAGUGUUUACGAUGGUGUCUUGAACAUAGUAACUGCACAAAAAGUGCCUUCUUGCUCUUAAUAAUCCAGAAACUAUACAUAAUAGAUGGUGAUGCAAUACCUCAUGCCUGUAAACCUUGCUCUUUUGUUUACCUUUGUUUUAGUUUGCCUUCAUGUUUUUAUAUUUACCUCAUUUGUAUAGACACAGAAAUAAAUUACUGUAAACAUG